RNAcentral lists this long non-coding RNA (1145 nucleotides) under Panax ginseng (ginseng). RNAcentral's name for it is "long non-coding RNA (PGIN_LNC018130)". The record is from RNAcentral. Lineage: Eukaryota; Viridiplantae; Streptophyta; Magnoliopsida; Apiales; Araliaceae.
CCUGCACAAAUGGAAACUUUUCCAUGGAUGUGACUUCAUUGGAGAUGUGAAUCAAUGAUUCCAGCAAAUUAGACCUAGUUGGAAGAAAGCCCAAGGAAACCAUGAGAGGAGGAAGAGCUAUAUCCAUGGUGUUGCUUCUGUUCAGAGUAAGUUUAUAUUCAUUGUUCUUUUCAUGGUCAAGGACUCCAGAGCUUCUCAUGUUAAGAUUUAUUGAAGAAAACUUCUAUGUCAGAACAAAGAUAAAAUAAUACACUAAAUUUUGUCAUGGUUAUUGACUGCUUCUGUUUCUACUGUUAUUCUAGGUGAUAAUAAGAUGGCUGGUUGGAGAAGUCCUGAGUUUCUGCCACUUGGAGGUCAUACUGCUCCUGCUGCGUAAGUUAUAUUCUCAUCAAUUUUAUAUACAGAGAAACAUACAAAUACAUAUGUACACACAAAAAUGAGCCUUGGAUUUUAUUGGUGGUAGCUUCUUAGAAGUAUUUGCUUAAAAACCAUUUAUUUUUGAAGUAUACAUUUCUCCUUCAUCUUCUAGUUUUCUAUUCAUAUCAAGUUUAAUACAAAUCUCAAACAGUACAUGACAAAUAAGAUUGGUGUUAGGACUACUAGUUAUAGUAUUAGAAAAUGUUACUUAAACAAAUACUAUUGCUGUCACACGUGAGAUGCAAUCCCUUUUGUUUAAAUCUUUAGGUGAAAAUGAAAUCAGCACAAUGGGCUGUAGGAUUUCAUUGUGGAUUAAUGGAUUUAAUAAUCUCACUCCUUACUUGGACUCUUUUUUGGCUGUGCAUUCAGCAUUGCAUUAUCAUAUUACCUGGAUUUUGGCUUUGAACAGAUUUGAAAUUUCAAUACCCUGAAUUUGUGCUUGAUUAGUUCAAACUUUGCCAACUAUAUUAAACUCUUUUUGGAAACAAUGUCGCAAUCUAGUCUUGCAAAGGAGUUCUAAUUUGUUUUUUUUUCGUAUGUAGGAUUGACUGGGAACAUGUGAUAUUGUUGUUGGGCAUUUGAAACCACAUCUUGACCUAAAAGGUUAAUCUAUUAGAUUUAUGGUUCAUUAGAGCAUGUGAGAUUUUACAUAUGUUGACUUAUUCUUUUUCCGGACGAAGGUGGUAUUAUAUUGAAUUGAAAUUUUAAAUUUUAUUAUUUAAUACUCC